RNAcentral lists this RNase P RNA (353 nucleotides) under uncultured Paraprevotella sp. Its description in RNAcentral is "Bacterial RNase P class A". It matches the Rfam family "Bacterial RNase P class A". From Rfam's summary of the family: Ribonuclease P (RNase P) is a ubiquitous endoribonuclease, found in archaea, bacteria and eukarya as well as chloroplasts and mitochondria. The record is from RNAcentral. Lineage: Bacteria; Pseudomonadati; Bacteroidota; Bacteroidia; Bacteroidales; Prevotellaceae.
GUCGGACAGUCUGUCGCUGGUCUUUUGUAAAAAGGCGGGAGGAAAGUCCGGGCAACAUAGGGCACCCCACUUCUUAACGGGAAGUAGUCUGUGAGGGUUAGAUCAUGUAGAAGAAAAUAACCGCCUGCUUCGGCAGGUAAGGGUGAGAAGGUGAGGUAAGAGCUCACCAGGCGGGCGGUGACGUCCGUGCUGUGCAUUCUGGGGGUUGAAAGUUCGCGUAAACCGGCGCUAACGAAAGGCGGCCCGUCUGAGUCGGAGGGUAGAACGAUAGAGCCUUGUGGUGACAUAAGGCGUGGAUAAAUGACAGACGCCUUGAUUUUCAAGGAACAGAACCCGGCUUAUCGUCUGGCUGC